RNAcentral lists this long non-coding RNA (302 nucleotides) under Arachis ipaensis. RNAcentral describes it as "long non-coding RNA (AIPA_LNC002078)". Lineage: Eukaryota; Viridiplantae; Streptophyta; Magnoliopsida; Fabales; Fabaceae. The record is from RNAcentral.
UCCCAUUCGAUGCCUUUAUGUGUUUGUUGAGUGAUUUCAGGUUUGGAAGGCAAAGAUUGGAUUGAAGGAAUGAAGAAAAAGCAUGUAAAAGUAGAGAAUUCGUGAAGAAAUGAAGUUUUGGAAAUCUGCCAUGCGACGCGUACGCGUGACUAGAGACCUCAUCAAGCGCGUGACACUCAGCACGUGAUUUCAUUUAAUGCAAUACACUGGGGGCGAAUUCUGGGCUUCCAAAGCCCAUUCCAACUCAUUUCUGAAGCUAUGUCAAGCCUAAUUCAAGAGAGAACAAGGGGCAAGCAAUUAGG